RNAcentral lists this ribosomal RNA (485 nucleotides) under uncultured bacterium. RNAcentral describes it as "partial 16S ribosomal RNA". It matches the Rfam family "Bacterial small subunit ribosomal RNA", at positions 28 to 523 of the family's 1533-position model. The record is from RNAcentral.
GACGAACGCUGGCGGCGUGCUUAACACAUGCAAGUCGAACGGUGAAAGCGGAGCUUGCUCCGCUGGAUCAGUGGCGAACGGGUGAGUAACACGUGGGCAACCUGCCCCUCACUUCGGGAUAACUCCGGGAAACCGGGGCUAAUACCGGAUAUGACCUCCUUGGGCAUCCUUGGAGGUGGAAAGUUUUUCGGUGAGGGAUGGGCCCGCGGCCUAUCAGCUUGUUGGUGAGGUAGUGGCUCACCAAGGCGACGACGGGUAGCCGGCCUGAGAGGGCGACCGGCCACACUGGGACUGAGACACGGCCCAGACUCCUACGGGAGGCAGCAGUGGGGAAUAUCGCGCAAUGGGCGAAAGCCUGACGCAGCAACGCCGCGUGCGGGAUGACGGCCUUCGGGUUGUAAACCGCUUUCAGCAGGGAAGAAGCCGCAAGGUGACGGUACCUGCAGAAGGAGCACCGGCUAACUACGUGCCAGCCGCCGCAGUAA